UUGUUAACAACUAUUUAAUGUCAAGGCUAAUUCACAAGCUUAGUAAAAGCAGGCUUUGUUGAAGAUUCAACACCUUCAAUUACAGCAUUAAGAGCUCAUAAUAAUUACUCCUCAAACCUUUCAGAGGUCCUUCAACGGAGCCUCUGUGUGAGGAGGGGGAGGCAGCUUUGACAUCCUUAAUGUCUUAAAGAUUAAAAAUACAAAUAAACAAAGCAAGCAGAAAAGCCCUAAUUCUAAUAAUGAUGACAAAUACGAUGUCAGGCUCUCAUUAGACAACAAAAAGCAGCAAAUGAAAGAGAGUAGCCUAAUUCUCAGUUAGUCACAUUAAAUAUGACUCCUUUGCUAGUGAAUUUCUGUGGGGAUAAACAAGGGAUUUUCACUGCCCAGGUAUGCCCAAAAUGAGAUUUCUGGAAGUAGGAAAGCAAGGAAUUUGACUAAAACAUUAGAAUUAGCUUUAUUUCUACUGCCCUGGUCAAGAUUUACAGAAACUUCAGUCUCUGCUUCACCUGUUCCUGGCAUAGCUGAGCCCAGCACUUCACCUCAUCAUGCCGUAGAUGCUUUUUAGUAGGAAAAUGGCUGAUUAUUUGCAUUUCUGGGGACUACAUAGGAAGCAGCUGGUACGGUGAGAAGGCAGGGGGGAAAGACUUAGCUCCUAUGGAGAGUGUUUUCUCCUGCCAAGGUUUUUCUUCUCCUACCAGAGGAUCACCACUCCAAAAUUUCUUUCAGCUUAUGAAAUGUACAGCUAUGCUCUCCCUUUAAAACUCAAGGACAUCUUGGUGUUUAGCACAGCUCAUAAACACCUUUCUCCUUUUUGAGUUCAUAACAAAUCCAGUCUAGCUCAGGAGCAGAUCAGAGGAGUGACCAACCUCCAGGCCAAAUGAAGAGCAAGAAGCAGUCAGUCAUGUUUCCCUUGAAUUUCAACAGCAGUGAAGCUGAAACAAAUAGGUGCAGUUGCCUGUCAUCAGUGACAAUUGCUCUGAAGUUCAGGACGUCUCACUGAACACACACAAAAAGCACACAACUCCAACACUGACAGAUCUUCUCAGCAGAAGUGCAAGGGCUGUGUUCAGAGCAGAGGGAAGCCCCACAGCCAGUGCUCACCAGGGCAGGUUCCCUAUACCAGCCACCACUGUUUUUGUUUUUUUUUUUUUCCCCAAGCAGUAAUACUCCAUUUUGUCCCAUGUUCACUUGGUGGCAUACUUUGGCCUUUUUGUAAUGACAGUUCUACACAGUGACAAAGCACAUGCGAGUGCAGAGAGGUUUGCAAGGAAUCGGGAUUUACUGUAAAGCACCCUAGAAGGGGUUUCUCACUUGCUGCGUGUAUGCACUGGUGGUAUAUGAGGGAUGGGCAUCAAGCAUCCUGUGCAGUUUCACCUGGUGAUGACAAUGCCUCUGAGCAUGGGGUAAGCACCAAACUUCUGCAGAAGUAUGCAGGAGUUCAUCAAAGCUGUGCUGUUCACCCAGCAACCUAGCAGACUUCAGUGAAGAACUUGGGUUUCAGCUGGAGAAAGUGAGAACUUUUUCAGUGAAGUGAGUGUUACCUUCAGGCCUGUGAAGUGUUCAUCAGGACAGCAUCCUCUCCUCUCUGGUGGAAUCAGACACCUCACUGUUAUUUAGAUGAUUCAGUACCCUUACAGGGGCGAUUCUCACUUUCACGUGGUUUCAAACGUACAAGAUGGGGGUGGUAGCACAUCGCCCAGCACUCUCAUGCUCUUCAAUCUUUAGUCACGUUUCCUCCAACUGGAGGUUGGUACAGCACUUAGGACAUGCUGCUGGGUUGAUCCAAAGGACAGGGAAGUUCUCUGACCCGUGCCAGCUUUGCAACAGUGCAGCUUCAGUGUUGGGGAAGAUGCCUCUGAUGUCCAAAAAAGGAGGAAGUGGAGGUAAUGCCCCUCUGAUAUGAUCUCACAUGAGCUGAUUUACAGCCAAGUCAUAAGCACCAAAAUAAAGAGUCAGCUAGUUGUAGCUGCAGAUACGCUUCAAGUUCAGCUCAUGCUCAUUGUUCGCUUGCAUCAUUCUAGAUUAGGUGCUGAUGUGCUUUAUUCACACUGAAUUAACUUCAUGUGCGUGCUUGCUAACUUCCUGCUUAUCUGGAUACCACAUAUGCAUAUGCCCAAUCCAGUUAGGGAGAGAAUGAGAAACAUAGUGAAUGCUACACCAUUUAAGUAAGCAUAAUGAAUGACCAGAGUUGUGGCACAUAUCUGUGCAUGUGAAGGAGAAAAGUGAAUUAAAAAAAAAAAAAAGAAAAAA
Gallus gallus (chicken) is the source of this 2250-nucleotide long non-coding RNA. NCBI's taxonomy places the organism in Eukaryota, Metazoa, Chordata, Aves, Galliformes, Phasianidae. The record is from Ensembl.